UUUCACGCUACUCGAAAUACGCCCCUCACUCGUGCCAGCAGUGGUGGAUGACUGUGAGCACAGCGACUCAGAAAACCAGUGGCUGCAUCAGCGAGCCACGCGAGGGCCGACUCCGCCUCGUGUACGCGGCGCACCAGAGGCUGGAGGACGAGCUGAGCACGCUUCUUGCCUUCGCCACGGCGGCGAGAAAGCACGACGAAAAUGCAUCGCAGUCCCGUGAUGGCUUCUCACCAUGGACAGGGCUGAUGGAAUCCGCCGUAAAAUGCGUUGACGCCACCUCCCGCUGCCUUCGACUCUUCAAUCCUACAAGGACGAUCACGCAGUCCAAAGGCAUGACUACGCUAGCCAAGCUCUACGGCACAGGCGCAGCACCCCACGAAAGAGUGAUCACCUUUCUUAUGCACAUCCGUGACGCAUUCGACGGCGUGUUGCCUGUAGAAAUCGCGCUAAGCGGCGGGCACUGUCUCCAGAGACUAGACCCAUCCGCUGCAGAUGAGUACCUUUUAGCUUUCGUCACCGACUGGUUAGCGCUAGCAGCUGCGGCGGACGAGCAGGCAGAUCCCUUCCGACGGCGGUUUUGCGACCGACUUUCGACGGACAACGCACAGAAAACGUUUCACCUCCAUUUUCGUGCGGCCGUGCUUCUCCAAAUUGAGUGCGCUGCACAGUCCGGGCGCAAGCACGUCUUCGCAGCGUACAACACGCAGGUGAUGGAUGCUAUUCUGACCCCUUUCACUCGAGAGGAACUACAAAAGUACGAGGCCACGUGCUGGCAAGAAGCAGCGCGGCACCGCGAGGUGGAAAGCGUGGUGGCUGUGCCUUUUGUGUCUGCAGCUCCCGCCUCGACGGUGUCGUCUGCACUCGCCGCAUACAAGCAGCAAGGGACACAGCGGGGCACCUCGACCGAGGCGCGUCGAGGAGGUGCAGUCGCCCCAUCGUCCUCCGGAAUGGCAAACUGGAGGCAUGAUGCCAUCCGCAUUCUUGCCUUCCUCCUCCUGGCAGUUCUGCUUCGCUUUGCGUGGGGCCCUCUGGCAAGGGCGUUGAAGAGCGUCCUGCAAGUCACACGCGCAGCACCGGCACGCCAGCGUACCUUGGCACUGUGAAGAAUGUUUCAAGCUGCCGCAUCCCCCCCCCCUUCGUUGUGCGGCCGGACAGUUUUUUUUUCUCCGUCGUGGAGGAAAGGCACGCAGCGCUCCCUCCCAAGCACUGCCAGCCUCGAUCGGAAACAGCACAAGUGCGGAAGGCAUGCUCGGCUUCUCCGUGCGCAAAGCCAUCCACUCCCAUCACCCUUACCUGCGAGUUCUGCUUAUAAAGAGGUUUCUCUCACGGUAAGUGCUUUUUCUUCCCUACUGUCACGAUAGCCAUCCAGCACUGCGACAACACACGCACACGUCGGUUGUCAUCGCGCACCCCUACUUUCACACCCCGCCGCUGUUUGCCGUGGAAAAACCUCCCCGCUAUCUUUUUGAUUUGAUGGUACGUUCAGCCUGUCUUAUGGGCCACCAUUGUGCUGUGAAGGUGGCUUCCAGAGCGUGUAUGAGCGCAUGUAUAACUCUACCGCCACACAGCGGGCACCACCUCCUUCGGCGGUGCGAUCCCUCUACCCUUUUCCCCAUCUCCUCUUGUUUGCUCUCUAUCGCUUGGAUUCGUAUCGUUUUCGCCUUUCGAACGUCUUUUGUCCCACUCGCUCCUGCGUGUAUGUGCGCAUGUGUGUGUGUGGGGGGGGGGGGCUAUUAAACGCAUGGCAUACAUACAACGACAACAUGUCACAAG
RNAcentral lists this unclassified non-coding RNA (1773 nucleotides) under Leishmania donovani. RNAcentral's name for it is "gene:LdHU3.21.0120(CDS-product:hypothetical_prote in_conserved)". Lineage: Eukaryota; Euglenozoa; Kinetoplastea; Trypanosomatida; Trypanosomatidae. The record is from RNAcentral.